RNAcentral lists this ribosomal RNA (253 nucleotides) under uncultured bacterium. RNAcentral's name for it is "partial 16S ribosomal RNA". It matches the Rfam family "Bacterial small subunit ribosomal RNA", at positions 524 to 776 of the family's 1533-position model. The record is from RNAcentral.
UACGUAGGGUGCGAGCGUUGUCCGGAAUUAUUGGGCGUAAAGCGCACGUAGGCGGCAUUGCAAGUCGGAUGUGAAAUCCCUCGGCUUAACCAAGGAAGUGCAUCCGAAACUGCAGUGCUUGAGUACUUAAGAGGAUCGCGGAAUUCCCGGUGUAGAGGUGAAAUUCGUAGAUAUCGGGAGGAACACCAGUGGCGAAGGCGGCGAUCUGGGAAGAUACUGACGCUGAGGUGCGAAAGCGUGGGGAGCAAACAGG